UGUAGGUUUUUUGUUUCAUUUUGUUUUGUUUUUCAUGUUGACAUGGACUCUUGGAAAGUUCCCAGGGACUCAAGGUUAUACUGUUUGAUUGGCCUGUCUGGUAUUUAAUGCUAUGAAAAAAAGUGAGAAAGCAUCAAUUUUAGAUAAAUCAUUGGAAUACUCACUGAAGUAAGGGGACCUAAGUUGACUUGAUGUGAUAUAGAUGGAAUUAGCAAGGCAUAUGUAUGUGUUCACUGCAGGUCACUGCAUAGAAGACCAACCAGCUUGCAUUCCGGCUGCUUUGGGAUAAAUUUCCGACUCUGCACAUUAAUUUUCUUUUCUUUCCUGUUUUUUUGUUUUUGUUGGUACCAGGAAUUGAACGCAGGGGUGCUUAACCACUGAGCCAGGUCCCCACCCCUUUUAAAAAAUAUUUUGUUUAGAGACAGUGUCUCACUGAGUUACUAAGUGCCUCACUGAUCUGCUGAGGCCAGCUUUGAACUCAUGAUCCUCCUGCCUUAGCCUCCUGAGUUGCUGGGAUUACAGGUGUGCACCACCAUGCUUGGCUUACACAUUAAUUUUCUAACCAUAAAAUAUGGACUUCAAGGAGAGGUAAAAGCACUGGUUUCUAAGGUCCUGGACUCUAAAAACACAUGGUUAUAGAACAUUUUUGUCAAAUUUGUUACUUUUGUUAUCCUACCUUACUCACUGAAAUUACACAUUUGGAGACUGUUUUGUAAAACUUAUAUUGAAGGCAUUGUUUCUCUGGGAAGAAAUAAUUAAUUAUGACUAUUAACCCUUAGCAGAUGAGUAAUUUAUCAGACAAGAGCCAAGGAAUUCAGCAGUGUGUAAAUAAGUCUUGGAAAGAAUUUGAACAGAUAAAUGAUGCUAGCAGGAAUAAUUAAUCCAAAAUAACUUGUGCCUUAUGUUUCUAGGUGCUAAGGAAGGUAUGAAAGAGAGAGGUGACAUAGGACCAAGGCCAAACAUACUCUAUGGUUUUCCAGAAAGCUUAGUGAUACUGGAAGAAAAUGGAGCUUUUUCUGAAGGAUCCCAAAUGAUGACUCACUUUAAAGCUAUAGUGAUCAGUUUUCACAGGAUUUAUCUGGCUUCUUGGAAGGGCAAAAAUCUUUUUUUUUUUUUUAAGAAGAAAGUACACAAAGAUUUAGAGAUGUGUGCUGCUAUAAACCCAAGAGAGGAAGGAAGUAGAGAAGCAGAGAUGCUUAAGUUUCUGUAAGACAAUCUAUAGGUUCUACAGAUUUGAAAUUUGAAUCCACGUCAAAGGAAGUGAGAAGAAAAUAUUAAGACAGAUAAGCAGAUUAUGCAGAAAAUGAGAAACAAUUCAAAGUGAUACAUUGGUAGAAUAAGAAACCACUCCAGUGGGGAGUCAAAGGGAAGAGGCCGUGGUGAACAGGCUAGGCUUGGUGUUAGAUUGACAGGAAGUGAUACCUUGCUUUCAUCCUCCUGUGUGCAUUUCAGCAAUUGCUUCAUCUCUGCAAGUCUCAAUUUUUUUCUCUGUAAAAUUUGGAUCACCAUCUAAUCCUUGGGGUUGGAGAAUAAAAUAAAU
This 1540-nucleotide long non-coding RNA is filed under the name Marmota monax (woodchuck). The record is from RNAcentral. Lineage: Eukaryota; Metazoa; Chordata; Mammalia; Rodentia; Sciuridae.